RNAcentral lists this long non-coding RNA (2216 nucleotides) under Eucalyptus grandis. RNAcentral describes it as "long non-coding RNA (EGRA_LNC002796)". The record is from RNAcentral. Lineage: Eukaryota; Viridiplantae; Streptophyta; Magnoliopsida; Myrtales; Myrtaceae.
UCCAUCUCUCUCUCUCUCUCUCUCUCUCUCUCCUCCCCCUCUCUUCCGUCGGCACCCCCCUCUCCAUCUUCUUCUUCUUGCUGCUAGGGUUCCUGCUGUGUGAAGAACCAGUAGCUCGCCGGCUUGCUCACAUGCCCAACCGGCCACCCAUUCGGCUGCUCAUCGCCAGCCGCCCCUCCGCCCGCUCGCCAUCGCUCAGCCCGCGCCACCGUCGCCCUUUCUCCUCCAUCUCCGCUGCAGCUCGACGCACCCAGCAGAUCUGAGAAGGGGUCGAAGCUGGCUGCAGCCCAGCCGGAACGCCGUCACGCACCCCUCGCGCGCCGUCCGUCGCUCGCGCGCCUCCAGCGCGUCAUCGCCGUCCUGGCCGUCGUCCCGGCCUCCUUCUCGCCCAGCUCGUCGUCCCAAGCUGUUGUUCAACUUGUGCAGGAGCUGCCGGAGCUCGUCCCCGCCGCCGUGAGGCCUCGUCUAGCCGCUGCCUCGCCCGUCCGAGCCACCGUCGAGCUGCCGCCCCGAUCCUCUGCCCAUUCCGACGCCGGAUCAGUGCUUCUCGGCCCCAAAACAGUAGUCGCAAAAAUGGGUAUGGCAGCACCUAUUUGGCCCCUUUUGGCCGUCUUCCCGAGCCCAGAUGCUCGGCCCGCCUUGAGGAAAGUCGAUCCUCGCGUCGUCCUCGUCGUUUUGGUUCGCUCGGCUCGCUAAUCGGGUGAGUUUAGCUCACUAAAUCUUAAUUAGACGGUUAAUGAUGCUCUAAGUGUGCUUAGCCUAAGUUAAAUAAGCUUAGGUGAUUAGUUUAGUUUAUUUAAUUAUGAAUUAGAUUAAGAUGUUUGUUUAAUUUAAAGUAUGCUUAAUUAAAGACUAAGAGAGUUUAUUUAAUAAUAAACCUUGAUGGGACAUAAUAGGAUUUUAAUUUUGAAUUAUUUAAUUGCUUCGAAAUUCUGGAAAUUAUAAUAUUAUAUUAUAAUCCGAAAUUAUUAAAAUAUUAUUAUUUAAAAAAAUGGAAAAAUUAUUUUUGACCCCGAUUGCUCAGAAUUUCGUGCUGAUCGCUGUUAUGUAUUUGGAUUUUGAAAUUGAUGAUUAGAUGUUAUAAAUUGAGUGUGGAUUGCAAAAAAUAUGGAUAUUAUUAUAUAAUUAAUUUUCGGAAUAAAUUUAAUUAUUUAUUAAAUUCCGAAAAUUUCGUCAGGACCUUAUUCUCUCAAAAUUUCGUACUGAUCGCUGCUGUAUAUUUAGAAUUUGAAUUUGAUGAUUGAUUGUGGAAAAUGGAGUGUGAUUGUGAUAAAUAGGGAUUCUUUUUAUAAAGUCUCAAGUGUCGAAAUUUAUGGAAGAUUGGCUGUGAUUAACCACCUAUUAAAGGUCGUGCCCAGUGGGGCCGUGAAUUGCCACCUGAUAAAGGUCGUGCUCAGUGGGGCCGUGAAUUGCCAACUGAUAAAUGUCGCGCCCAGUGGGGCCGUGAAUUGCCACCUGAUAAAGGUCGCGCUCAGAGAGGUCGUGAAUUGCCACUUGAUAAAGGUCGCGCCCAGUGGGGCCGGGAAUUGCCACCUGAUAAAGGUCGCGCUAAGUGGAGCCGUGAUGCCAUUAAUUCUAAUCUUGCCGAGUGGGGUCGUGAUUGCCACUGGUUGUUAAACCUUCCUAUAGGGCUGUGAUUGAGAGCAAUUAUUGAUUUGCUAGAAUGACAUGUAAUUGGCCAAGUCGAUUGAUCGCUAAGACGACCCAAGUGGUUGAAUUGUUCUGAUGAUGUGAUUGUGCCAUAAUUGUUUGAUGAUCAUAAUUGUACGUGGUUAAAUUAUAUAAAUUGUGCUAACCUGCAGAUGAAGGCUAAUGCGAGGUAAGUCUUCUGUGUGAUGUGGCUAGGCCACCCGAGGCGUAUUUUCUUUCUAAUAGGGGUUUAGGGGGUUGAACUUGCUGAGAAAUUGUCUCAUCCCGGUUUGGGAAUUACAAUUUCAGGUCCCUGGUGGACGAAGUGGCUAAAUAGCUUUGGUUGGCCUUAAGGAGUUGAAGAUGUGAAGUCAUAAGAAUUGGAGAAUGUGUCAUGCUAGUUGUUUUUAGGAGAAUCCCCAUUUCUGUCGAGCUGGUAUAUUUUGUAGACAAUCCAAUGUUGUAUUUAAACCCCUUUGUGUUUGUAAAUAAGUAUUUGGUAUUGUGAUUGAUUGCCUGCUUUUCUAUCCCAAGUUAAAUGUUGUCAGGGGAUUUGUUUCACUUUCGAAUGCGUAAUUAAAUGAAUG